CUGGAAGCGCGCGCUCCCAGGCUGCCCCAACUGCUCCAGCUUCCGUUGGGGCUCCAGCGGGGCAAGGCGCAGGCGCGAGCGCUGACGGCGGGUUCCCAACGGCCGGCAGGGCUCCCAUGGCGGCGUCCAGACUCAGUCCCGUAGGCCCGAGGUACUGGACCCGCGAACCUCUCCCGUCCCCAGUGUGUCCCUGCCUGGUCCUCUGGCCCCUGCGCCUCGCCGGGCAGCCCGGGCGCCGGCCUCGCCUCCCCUGGGACGUGGGCCGCCCGCACCAGGCCUGGAAGUGAGGGGCGCGUCGGCCAGUGAGGCGCCUUGUCGAAGCGUCGUCUGUCCGUGUCCCUUGCAGCCUGUGCAGCGCCAGGCUCCAGGGCACCUGUGUGGUGCUUGAGAAGUGCGGUCCUGGUCAGCAGGUCCGUGGCUCCUGUUGGUGUCAGACGAAGUGGUGACGGUCAUCUCCUGUUCCCUGUGAAAGCUGUGAAUGUUGGGGACACCGUCAGCCGGCAUCCGGGUUGUUAGGCUGAAGGACAUUCAUUUCCUGUGACGUUAGCGACUUUGCAGAAGGGAACACACUGAGCCCAGUGCGCUGAGUCCGCUGUGGUCACACCGUGAUUGACGGCCGUCAUAGGUGGGCUGUUGGUGGGCGCCUCUGGACAGAGCACCUAAAUGAUGACGGGAGAAUCCUGUCACCCCAAGUCGUGUGCAAUAAAGAGACUCGUGUUG
Molecule: long non-coding RNA, 720 nt
Filed under: Marmota monax (woodchuck)
Lineage: Eukaryota; Metazoa; Chordata; Mammalia; Rodentia; Sciuridae
Source: RNAcentral